GACGAACGCUGGCGGCGUGCUUAACACAUGCAAGUCGAACGGAAAGGCCCUGCUUUUGUGGGGUGCUCGAGUGGCGCACGGGUGAGUAACACGUGAGUAAACUGUCCUUGACUUUGGGAUAACUUCUGGAAACAGGGGCUAAAACCGGAUAGGAGCUCCUGCUGCAUGGUGGGGGUUGGAAAGUUUCGGCGGUUGUGGAUGGACUCGCGGGUUACGGGCUGGUUGGUGGGGUUGUGGCUGUCCAAGGCUUUGACGGGUAGGCGGCCUGAGAGGGGGAACGGGGACAUGGGGACUGAGAGAGGGCGCAGACUGGUACGGGAGGCAGUAGGGGGGAAUAUGGCACAACGGGCGGAAGCGAGAGGUAGCAACGCCGCGUGCGGGAUGACGGCCUUCGGGUUGUAAACCGCUGUGGCCUGUGACGAAGCGGGAGUGACGGUAAUGGGUAAAGAAGCAACGGCUAACUACGUG
This 468-nucleotide ribosomal RNA is filed under the name uncultured bacterium. RNAcentral describes it as "partial 16S ribosomal RNA". It matches the Rfam family "Bacterial small subunit ribosomal RNA", at positions 28 to 507 of the family's 1533-position model. The record is from RNAcentral.